GACGUAGGGCGCGAGCGUUGUCCGGAUUUAUUGGGCGUAAAGAGCUCGUAGGCGGUCUGUUGCGUCGGUUGUGAAAACCCGGGGCUCAACUCCGGGCCUGCAAUCGAUACGGGCAGACUAGAGUUCGGUAGGGGAGACUGGAAUUCCUGGUGUAGCGGUGAAAUGCGCAGAUAUCAGGAGGAACACCGGUGGCGAAGGCGGGUCUCUGGGCCGAAACUGACGCUGAGGAGCGAAAGCGUGGGGAGCGAACAGG
This 253-nucleotide ribosomal RNA is filed under the name uncultured bacterium. RNAcentral's name for it is "partial 16S ribosomal RNA". It matches the Rfam family "Bacterial small subunit ribosomal RNA", at positions 524 to 776 of the family's 1533-position model. The record is from RNAcentral.